Molecule: ribosomal RNA, 253 nt
Filed under: uncultured bacterium
Lineage: Bacteria
Description: partial 16S ribosomal RNA
Rfam family: Bacterial small subunit ribosomal RNA
Source: RNAcentral
UACAGAGGUCCCAAGCGUUGUUCGGAUUUACUGGGCGUAAAGGGUGCGUAGGCGGUUGUUUAAGUCUGACGUGAAAUCUCCGGGCCUAACCCGGAAACUGCGUUGGAUACUAUUCAACUAGAGGAAUGGAGGGGAGACUGGAAUACUUGGUGUAGCAGUGAAAUGCGUAGAUAUCAAGUGGAACACCAGUGGCGAAGGCAGCCCCCUGGGCUAACACUGACGCUCAGGCACGAAAGCGUGGGGAGCAAACAGG